RNAcentral lists this ribosomal RNA (512 nucleotides) under uncultured bacterium. RNAcentral describes it as "partial 16S ribosomal RNA". It matches the Rfam family "Bacterial small subunit ribosomal RNA", at positions 28 to 523 of the family's 1533-position model. The record is from RNAcentral.
GACGAACGCUGGCGGCGUGCCUAAUACAUGCAAGUCGAGCGGAACUGGGGGAGCUUGCUCCUUCCAGUUCAGCGGCGGACGGGUGAGUAACACGUGGGCAACCUGCCCUGCAGAUCGGGAUAACUCCGGGAAACCGGUACUAAUACCGAAUAGUUUGGCGCCUCUCCUGAGGCGCUACGGAAAGACGGUUUCGGCUGUCACUGCAUGAUGGGCCCGUGGCGCAUUAGCUAGUUGGUGGGGUAACGGCCCACCAAGGCGACGAUGCGUAGCCGACCUGAGAGGGUGACCGGCCACACUGGGACUGAGACACGGCCCAGACUCCUACGGGAGGCAGCAGUAGGGAAUCUUCCGCAAUGGACGCAAGUCUGACGGAGCAACGCCGCGUGAGUGACGAAGGUUUUCGGAUCGUAAAACUCUGUUGUGAGGGAAGAACACGUACCAACUAACUAUUGGUACCUUGACGGUACCUCACCAGAAAGCCACGGCUAACUACGUGCCAGCCGCCGCCGUAA